GGAUUGUGAUGAUUGAUAUUCUAUUUCUUAUAGUUUAUGUGAUGAUUCAACACCUCCUACUCAUUCUGA
Molecule: non-coding RNA, 69 nt
Organism: Jatropha curcas
Lineage: Eukaryota; Viridiplantae; Streptophyta; Magnoliopsida; Malpighiales; Euphorbiaceae
Source: Rfam